RNAcentral lists this transfer RNA (25 nucleotides) under Mesoptychia heterocolpos var. arctica. RNAcentral describes it as "partial tRNA-His". Lineage: Eukaryota; Viridiplantae; Streptophyta; Jungermanniopsida; Jungermanniales; Jungermanniaceae. The record is from RNAcentral.
UAGCCAAGUGGAUUAAGGCAGUGGA